AGUGAACGUUGGCGGCGUGGAUUAGGCAUGCAAGUCAAGCGAGAACCGUAGCAAUACGGGGACAGCGGCGAAAGGGACAGUAAUGUGUAGGUACCUACCUCCGGGUUCGGGAUAGCUGCGGGAAACUGCAGGUAAUACCGAAUAACGUCUCCGGACCAAAGGUGUGAUUCCACCUGGAGAGGGGCCUGCAUCCUAUUAGCUUGUUGGCGGGGUAACGGCCCACCAAGGCGACGAUGGGUAGCGGGUGUGAGAGCACGACCCGCGUCAUUGGGACUGAGACACGGGCCACACACUUACGGGGGGCUGCAGGCGAGGAUCUGCGGCAAUGGGCGCAAGCCUGACCGAGCGGCGCCGCGUGCGGGAUGAAGGCCUUCGGGUUGUAAACCGCUGUCGUAGAGGAGGAAGUGCAGGGGGGUUCUCCCCUCUGUUUGACCUAUUCUAGGAGGAAGGACGGGCUAAGUUCGUGCCAGCCGCCGCCGUAA
RNAcentral lists this ribosomal RNA (482 nucleotides) under uncultured bacterium. Its description in RNAcentral is "partial 16S ribosomal RNA". It matches the Rfam family "Bacterial small subunit ribosomal RNA", at positions 28 to 523 of the family's 1533-position model. The record is from RNAcentral.